RNAcentral lists this ribosomal RNA (301 nucleotides) under uncultured bacterium. RNAcentral's name for it is "partial 16S ribosomal RNA". It matches the Rfam family "Bacterial small subunit ribosomal RNA", at positions 509 to 807 of the family's 1533-position model. The record is from RNAcentral.
CAGCCGCCGCGGUAAUACGUAGGUGGCAAGCGUUGUCCGGAAUUAUUGGGCGUAAAGGGCUCGCAGGCGGUUUCUUAAGUCUGAUGUGAAAGCCCCCGGCCCAACCGGGGAGGGUCAUUGGAAACUGGGAAACUUGAGUGCAGAAGAGGAGAGUGGAAUUCCACGUGUAGCGGUGAAAUGCGUAGAGAUGUGGAGGAACACCAGUGGCGAAGGCGACUCUCUGGUCUGUAACUGACGCUGAGGAGCGAAAGCGUGGGGAGCGAACAGGAUUAGAUACCCCUGUAGUCCCUGUCUCUUAUAC